Molecule: long non-coding RNA, 811 nt
Filed under: Homo sapiens (human)
Lineage: Eukaryota; Metazoa; Chordata; Mammalia; Primates; Hominidae
Description: novel transcript
Source: RNAcentral
AGUUGCUCGCGGCGGCUGAGAAGACGGCGAAGACGAGGAGGCGCAGCGAACGCAGAUAAAGAAUCCGAGGCGCAGAGAGGUGGCACUGCUGGAAGGAACAGAGCCAGAUCCACAAGAUCCUUCAUUCCGACAAUAAAUAUUCACUGAAGAUCUGCCACAUGUCAGGCCCCAGCCCAGAUCAGGAAAUUGAGGUCCAGUGAGGUGUCUUGGCCAGGACACUCAGUCAGGACGUGACAUGAACACAGGACUGUCUGACUUCAAAUCCAGUGCUCCUUCCCCUGCAGUCCCCACCCCACUGACUGGGGGACAGUGCUCCAGGCAGCUGGAAUGGGACACGGUUUGUGUGGCAGCGAGAUAUCCAGGCUCUCCUCCUUCCAGAUCUAAGGAUUCAAACCCAGGUCUGCUUGACUAGGAAGGCCGGCCCUCUCCAUGGUGCCAGGACAACUCUUUGGAGAAGAUGCCCCUCUCUCUGCCUGCCUGAAUCUUCUCCGUCCACAAAGGCCUGCUCCAUCCUCCCUCCUCCAGGAAGCUUUCCCUGACUGUCCCCGGGCCCAGCCAGGGUGUCUGGGGGGCUGGAGAGACCCACAGAGCCCUGAUCACCGUGGCUGGCCCGUAAGUGUGGCGACUGAGUCCCAGUCUGGAGGCACAGCUGGACUUUCCCAGAGAGAACUGAGGCAUUGUGGGAAUUUCCCAGCUGUGACCCCAGGACCCUGAUUGCCCAGAAUGGCUCCAAGUUCACAUAUCUAGGGACCGUCACCAAGACUCCUGUAUCUAUAUUAAACUCGGUAAAUGUGAUGACCCUGGAAAUGUG